CGGGGUGAGGAAUACAUCGGAAUCUGCCUUGUUGUGGGGGAUAACGUAGGGAAACUUACGCUAAUACCGCAUAAGACCUCAGGGUGAAAGCGGAGGACCUUCGGGCUUCGCGCGACAAGAUGAGCCGAUGUCGGAUUAGCUAGUUGGCGGGGUAAAAGCCCACCAAGGCGACGAUCCGUAGCUGGUCUGAGAGGAUGAUCAGCCACACUGGAACUGAGACACGGUCCAG
This 229-nucleotide ribosomal RNA is filed under the name uncultured bacterium. RNAcentral describes it as "partial 16S ribosomal RNA". It matches the Rfam family "Bacterial small subunit ribosomal RNA", at positions 104 to 334 of the family's 1533-position model. The record is from RNAcentral.